This 433-nucleotide ribosomal RNA is filed under the name uncultured bacterium. RNAcentral's name for it is "partial 16S ribosomal RNA". It matches the Rfam family "Bacterial small subunit ribosomal RNA", at positions 29 to 507 of the family's 1533-position model. The record is from RNAcentral.
AACGAACGCUGGCGGCAUGCCUAACACAUGCGAGUCGAACGAGACCUUCGGGUCUAUUGGCGCACGGGUGCGUAACGCGUGGGAACCUUCCCUUAUGUUCGGAAUAACUCCCCGAAAGGGGUUCUAAUACCGGAUAAUGUCUUCGGACCAAAGAUUUAUCGCCUUUGUUUGGGCCCGCGUUGGAUUAGCUAGUUGGUAGGGUAAAAGCAUACCAAGGCGACGAUCCAUAGCUGGUCUGAGAGGAUGAUCAGCCACACUGGGACUGAGACACGGCCCAGACUCCUACGGGAGGCAGCAGUGGGGAAUAUUGGAAAAUGGGCGAAAGCCUGAUCCAGCAAUGCCGCGUGAGUGAUGAAGGCCUUAGGGUUGUAAAGCUCUUUUACCCGGGAUGAUAAUGACAGUACCGGGAGAAUAAGCUCCGGCUAACUCCGUG